This 77-nucleotide transfer RNA is filed under the name Acidobacteriota bacterium. RNAcentral describes it as "Acidobacteria bacterium (soil metagenome) tRNA-Arg". It matches the Rfam family "tRNA". From Rfam's summary of the family: Transfer RNA (tRNA) molecules are approximately 80 nucleotides in length. Their secondary structure includes four short double-helical elements and three loops (D, anti-codon, and T loops). The record is from RNAcentral. Lineage: Bacteria; Pseudomonadati; Acidobacteriota. RNAcentral also lists the same sequence under 2 other names.
GCGCCCGUAGCUCAGCAGGAUAGAGCAUCGGUUUCCUAAACCGGGGGUCGGGGGUUCGAGACCCUCCGGGCGCACCA